This 329-nucleotide ribosomal RNA is filed under the name uncultured eukaryote. Its description in RNAcentral is "partial 18S ribosomal RNA". It matches the Rfam family "Eukaryotic small subunit ribosomal RNA", at positions 1470 to 1796 of the family's 1831-position model. The record is from RNAcentral.
CCCUUAGAUGUCCUGGGCCGCACGCGCGCUACACUGAGUGUCUGAGAUACGAGUCUGCCUGGUCCGGCAAGGUCUAGGUAAUCACUAAAAGACACAUCAUGCUUGGGAUAGAUUAUUGCAAAUAUUAAUCUUGAACGAGGAAUUCCUAGUAAGCGCAAGUCAACAGCUUGCGUUGAUUACGUCCCUGCCCUUUGUACACACCGCCCGUCGCUACUACUGAUUGGAUGUUUAAGCGAGGUUCUCGAACUGCUAGCGACUUAGCUUCGGUGAGGUCGCAGUGUGGGAAGUGAACCUAGCUUUGGUGUCUAGAGGAAGUAAAAGUCGUAACA